UAAAGGUAGAGUGAUGCUUUAGAAGAAAGUAGUAGGUUGAGAAGAAGUCAAACUACUUCGAAGAAGUGUCGUUGAUCGACGGGCAGAACUUCGAGACGGAAUAUCUGAAACGGCAUAGGAGGACAAGGUUACUACAUGAAUAGUAGCUUCAGAAGACAACGGGAAUGUUAUAGCAGUUUACGAUUAGAAGGUAGUUUUAAGGUUUGUCUCUUAUCAAGGGAACGAAGUCCUCAUUGUGAAAGAAGUCCAAAUAAGAACAAAGCCGAUUCGUAAUAAUGCUGUUGUUAACGUGGUUAUUACGGCUUUGGGUGGUGUUCUUGUUAACCUUUUUCGUGUAAAUUACAGAAAGCAAAUACCACUGGUAGAUGACCUCAACUUAUUGUUCCACCGUCCGGUCUCUCUAAUGGUGUGUCUGGAAACAACCCUUCUUUGGUUGAACGACUUCGUAAAACCUCAUCAGCACAAUAACCCUAACCAGGAAGGUUCCGUAACAUCCUGUGUAGCUCACAACUUUCCGAGUUGUACGAACGUUUCCUCCUACCUUACGACGGUGACUUGACUAAUACCCUAUUUAAGUCUUUAAGAUCGUAAGGGUUGAAGGGUUCAACGACGCCGUUAUACGGUGACUCCAAUAACAACGAGUGUAGAUUGUACUAGACGUCUGGGCGAUUGAAAGGUUAGCAUGGUCCGUUUGAGGGUCACUUUUUCAACAACAACUAGAAGUUCCUAACAUCCACAUACGUCCGGGGAUCAAGGAGUCCAUAAUUAGGUGGGUCAGAUAAGGGUCUUUAUAGAUUUAUAGGAUCUAACGAAUCAAAAAGAUAGACACAUCCAUCCCUAGGUCUAUUCACCAAGCUACUAUUCAAGUCGUACAUGUCUAAUCAAUUUCACAUAUUAAGAACACCUUAAAAUGGCAACUCUACUAAUAUUAGUUCAAAAUCAUGAGGAUCCAAUCUGUUAAAUCUUUCCUAACCUCCAUACCUUGGGCACUAGUAUAAAAACGAAUCUCAAUCCCGUCAAUCGACCCAUGUACGUGGAUCUAAACCACUCUAGACGGGCCACUCAGAUAAACUACGGUUCGCGUAGUCACACUCAACACCUAUGUGUGGUUUUACGGAUCAAUAUAGAGGACAAUCAACCAAGAAAAGUUACAAUUAAAAUUCGUCUGAUCAUGUACAGAAAUUUGAAGAACCUUACCCCGGUCACUUGUAUAAUCUAACCUGUCACUCUUAAACUUCAGACGGUGGACUUGUAUAUAAACGCCCAUUUCCAGGAUUCUCACUCAACAAUCGAUUGGGUUCUAACAGUUCCGAAUACUCUAGAGGCUUAAGCACUCCUUCUCUUGGACUAUUAAACAAUAGUAUGUAAACGUCACAAGCCUGCGAAACGUUGAAGGGUUUUCAAAAACCAUAACUAGGCCUUUAAACCAAGACCACGUUCCGAUUCCUAAACUCCAAAUAGUCUAACGGUUAAACGACCCCCUACCUUGGUGAAUAGACUAAAAGUAUCUCCACAUCAUGAUGAUCGAACCAAUAUAAAGGAUCCGACAGUCCUUAUCUCGGUCUAUAAACCAACAGCUUAUUCUGAUUUCUGACCUCUAAAUCGUUCAACGGGUUGAGACUUCCAUAACCUGGGCACUAAACUAAAAGUUUCUCUUUUUAACGCAAUUAGAAUCACUCUAAUCAAUAUCUCUAACCUUAACCUGGACUUUUUAUUAAACUUAGUUCGAGUUCUUAAACGUCUACCUGAUCGGCAGGAUCAAGAACCCCAUAUCCGGGACUCUCAACUAAUGGUUUGUCCAUGUUUGGUUAAUCGACCCAGUCUAAAGGUUCCCAAAAACCAUACUACGGCGAAUUCCACGACAACGAAUCGACAUCUAAAACAUCCAAAUGUUCGGCAGGUUAGAGGAGACCUUAACCUGGACUAUGGUACCAAACCACUUACCGUUCUUUUCAAUUGUAACAAUCCAACGGGUCUCUACGUCCCUAUAAAGGACACUCCAACAAUUUACUCUCUCUUUCGACGGACUCUGAAACGUCCGGUGGUUAGAGUAUUCCUUAAAGGGGACACUCGACCAAGACGAAUUCCAAUUCUAGUCUUUCACGACUGUCUCUCGACUAUAAUCGCC
RNAcentral lists this ribosomal RNA (2128 nucleotides) under Triticum aestivum (bread wheat). RNAcentral describes it as "partial small subunit ribosomal RNA". The record is from RNAcentral. Lineage: Eukaryota; Viridiplantae; Streptophyta; Magnoliopsida; Poales; Poaceae.